RNAcentral lists this ribosomal RNA (1442 nucleotides) under Lactiplantibacillus pentosus. RNAcentral's name for it is "bacterial SSU rRNA". It matches the Rfam family "Bacterial small subunit ribosomal RNA". Lineage: Bacteria; Bacillati; Bacillota; Bacilli; Lactobacillales; Lactobacillaceae. The record is from RNAcentral. RNAcentral also lists the same sequence under 1 other name.
UGCAAGUCGAACGAACUCUGGUAUUGAUUGGUGCUUGCAUCAUGAUUUACAUUUGAGUGAGUGGCGAACUGGUGAGUAACACGUGGGAAACCUGCCCAGAAGCGGGGGAUAACACCUGGAAACAGAUGCUAAUACCGCAUAACAACUUGGACCGCAUGGUCCGAGUUUGAAAGAUGGCUUCGGCUAUCACUUUUGGAUGGUCCCGCGGCGUAUUAGCUAGAUGGUGGGGUAACGGCUCACCAUGGCAAUGAUACGUAGCCGACCUGAGAGGGUAAUCGGCCACAUUGGGACUGAGACACGGCCCAAACUCCUACGGGAGGCAGCAGUAGGGAAUCUUCCACAAUGGACGAAAGUCUGAUGGAGCAACGCCGCGUGAGUGAAGAAGGGUUUCGGCUCGUAAAACUCUGUUGUUAAAGAAGAACAUAUCUGAGAGUAACUGUUCAGGUAUUGACGGUAUUUAACCAGAAAGCCACGGCUAACUACGUGCCAGCAGCCGCGGUAAUACGUAGGUGGCAAGCGUUGUCCGGAUUUAUUGGGCGUAAAGCGAGCGCAGGCGGUUUUUUAAGUCUGAUGUGAAAGCCUUCGGCUCAACCGAAGAAGUGCAUCGGAAACUGGGAAACUUGAGUGCAGAAGAGGACAGUGGAACUCCAUGUGUAGCGGUGAAAUGCGUAGAUAUAUGGAAGAACACCAGUGGCGAAGGCGGCUGUCUGGUCUGUAACUGACGCUGAGGCUCGAAAGUAUGGGUAGCAAACAGGAUUAGAUACCCUGGUAGUCCAUACCGUAAACGAUGAAUGCUAAGUGUUGGAGGGUUUCCGCCCUUCAGUGCUGCAGCUAACGCAUUAAGCAUUCCGCCUGGGGAGUACGGCCGCAAGGCUGAAACUCAAAGGAAUUGACGGGGGCCCGCACAAGCGGUGGAGCAUGUGGUUUAAUUCGAAGCUACGCGAAGAACCUUACCAGGUCUUGACAUACUAUGCAAAUCUAAGAGAUUAGACGUUCCCUUCGGGGACAUGGAUACAGGUGGUGCAUGGUUGUCGUCAGCUCGUGUCGUGAGAUGUUGGGUUAAGUCCCGCAACGAGCGCAACCCUUAUUAUCAGUUGCCAGCAUUAAGUUGGGCACUCUGGUGAGACUGCCGGUGACAAACCGGAGGAAGGUGGGGAUGACGUCAAAUCAUCAUGCCCCUUAUGACCUGGGCUACACACGUGCUACAAUGGAUGGUACAACGAGUUGCGAACUCGCGAGAGUAAGCUAAUCUCUUAAAGCCAUUCUCAGUUCGGAUUGUAGGCUGCAACUCGCCUACAUGAAGUCGGAAUCGCUAGUAAUCGCGGAUCAGCAUGCCGCGGUGAAUACGUUCCCGGGCCUUGUACACACCGCCCGUCACACCAUGAGAGUUUGUAACACCCAAAGUCGGUGGGGUAACCUUUUAGGAACCAGCCGCCUAAGGU